CCGGGCCUUGUACACACCGCCCGUCACACCAUGAGAGCUGGUAACACCCGAAGUCCGUGAGGUAACCGUAAGGAGCCAGCGGCCGAAGGUGGGAUUAGUGAUUGGGGUGAAGUCGUAACAAGGUAGCUGUAGGAGAACCUGCGGCUGGAUCACCUCCUUUCUAAGGAGA
RNAcentral lists this ribosomal RNA (169 nucleotides) under Clostridium sporogenes. Its description in RNAcentral is "partial 16S ribosomal RNA". It matches the Rfam family "Bacterial small subunit ribosomal RNA", at positions 1374 to 1533 of the family's 1533-position model. The record is from RNAcentral. Lineage: Bacteria; Bacillati; Bacillota; Clostridia; Eubacteriales; Clostridiaceae.